This 79-nucleotide non-coding RNA is filed under the name Bacteroides xylanisolvens. The record is from RNAcentral. Lineage: Bacteria; Pseudomonadati; Bacteroidota; Bacteroidia; Bacteroidales; Bacteroidaceae.
GAAAUGUAUGGAGUAACGCUUGCCGUGAGAAGUCAGCAGAGGUCAUAGUAGUGGGACUGUCGAUAUUCCCAUGAAGGAC